RNAcentral lists this ribosomal RNA (462 nucleotides) under uncultured bacterium. RNAcentral's name for it is "bacterial SSU rRNA". It matches the Rfam family "Bacterial small subunit ribosomal RNA", at positions 339 to 794 of the family's 1533-position model. The record is from RNAcentral.
UUACGGGAGGCAGCAGUAGGGAAUAUUGGACAAUGGGCGCAAGCCUGAUCCAGCAAUACCGCGUGUGUGAAGAAGGCCUGAGGGUUGUAAAGCACUUUUAAUCGGGAGGAACAUCUACGGGUUAAUACCCCGUAGUCUGACAUUACCGAUAGAAAAAGCACCGGCUAACUCCGUGCCAGCAGCCGCGGUAAUACGGAGGGUGCAAGCGUUAAUCGGAAUUACUGGGCGUAAAGCGUGCGUAGGCGGUUAUUUAAGUCAGAUGUGAAAGCCCCGGGCUUAACCUGGGAACUGCAUUUGAUACUGGGUAACUAGAGUUGAGUAGAGGAGAGGGGAAUUUCAGGUGUAGCGGUGAAAUGCGUAGAGAUCUGAAGGAACACCAGUGGCGGAGGCGCCUCUCUGGACUCAAACUGACGCUGAGGUACGAAAGCGUGGGUAGCAAACAGGAUUAGAUACCCUGGUAGU